GACGAACGCUGGCGGCGUGCCUAAUACAUGCAAGUCGAGCGGUGCUACUUCGGUAGCAUAGCGGCGAACGGGUGAGUAACACGUGGGCAACCUGCCCCCAAGACAGGGAUAACUUCGGGAAACCGGAGCUAAUACCAGAUAAUCUUUUUCUUUGCAUGAAGAGAAAGUAAAAGGCUUCGGCCGUUUGGGGAUGGGCCCGCGACGCAUUAGCUAGUUGGUGGGGUAAAGGCCUACCAAGGCGACGAUGCGUAGCCGACCUGAGAGGGUGACCGGCCACACUGGGACUGAGACACGGCCCAGACUCCUACGGGAGGCAGCAGUAGGGAAUUUUCCGCAAUGGGCGAAAGCCUGACGGAGCAACGCCGCGUGAGUGAAGACGGUUUUCGGAUUGUAAAGCUCUGUUCUGUGGGAAGAAAAAAAUGACGGUACCAUAGGAGAAAGCCCCGGCUAACUACGUGCCAGCCGCCGCAGUAAAAC
RNAcentral lists this ribosomal RNA (477 nucleotides) under uncultured bacterium. RNAcentral's name for it is "bacterial SSU rRNA". It matches the Rfam family "Bacterial small subunit ribosomal RNA", at positions 28 to 526 of the family's 1533-position model. The record is from RNAcentral.